AAAGCGUGCGCAGGCGGUUAUGCAAGACAGAGGUGAAAUCCCCGGGCUCAACCUGGGAACUGCCUUUGUGACUGCAUAGCUAGAGUACGGUAGAGGGGGAUGGAAUUCCGCGUGUAGCAGUGAAAUGCGUAGAUAUGCGGAGGAACACCGAUGGCGAAGGCAAUCCCCUGGACCUGUACUGACGCUCAUGCACGAAAGCGUGGGGAGCAAACAGGAUUAGAUACCCUGGU
Molecule: ribosomal RNA, 230 nt
Filed under: uncultured bacterium
Lineage: Bacteria
Description: partial 16S ribosomal RNA
Rfam family: Bacterial small subunit ribosomal RNA
Source: RNAcentral